RNAcentral lists this ribosomal RNA (292 nucleotides) under uncultured Acidobacteriota bacterium. RNAcentral's name for it is "uncultured Acidobacteria bacterium partial 16S ribosomal RNA". Lineage: Bacteria; Pseudomonadati; Acidobacteriota. The record is from RNAcentral.
GGACUACCAGGGUAUCUAAUCCUGUUUGCUACCCACGCUUUCGUGUCUCAGUGUCAGUAAUGGUCCAGAAAGCUGUCUACACCACAGGUGUUCCUCCUGAUAUCUACGCAUUUCACCGCUACACCAGGAAUUCCGCUUUCCUCUCCCAUACUCGAGCACCCCAGUUUCCGCCGCACCCUCCCAGUUGAGCCGGGAGAUUUCACAACAGACUUAGAGCACCACCUACACACUCUUUACGCCCAGUAAUUCCGAACAACGCUUGCUGCCUACGUAUUACCGCGGCUGCUGGCAC